This 225-nucleotide long non-coding RNA is filed under the name Marmota monax (woodchuck). Lineage: Eukaryota; Metazoa; Chordata; Mammalia; Rodentia; Sciuridae. The record is from RNAcentral.
GCUGAGGGUUUUCUACCUCACACUGUGCAUAUUGCACAGCAAGAUAGAAAGACUUGUUUAUAUUAAACAGCUUAUUUAUGUAUCAAUAUUAGUUGGAAGGACCAGGCGCUGAGCCUCUCUCCAUAACAUGUGACUCUGUCAAUUGAAGACAGGACAGGAAAAAAAAAAAAAAGGAAACAGUUCAGAUUACUUACUGCACAUGUGGGUAAAAACAAAAAAUAAAAA